This 253-nucleotide ribosomal RNA is filed under the name uncultured bacterium. Its description in RNAcentral is "partial 16S ribosomal RNA". It matches the Rfam family "Bacterial small subunit ribosomal RNA", at positions 524 to 776 of the family's 1533-position model. The record is from RNAcentral.
UACAGAGGUCUCAAGCGUUGUUCGGAUUCAUUGGGCGUAAAGGGUGCGUAGGCGGGUCUUUAAGUCAGGGGUGAAAUCCUGGAGCUCAACUCCAGAACUGCCUUUGAUACUGAAGAUCUUGAGUUCGGGAGAGGUGAGUGGAACUGCGAGUGUAGAGGUGAAAUUCGUAGAUAUUCGCAAGAACACCAGUGGCGAAGGCGGCUCACUGGCCCGAUACUGACGCUGAGGCACGAAAUCGUGGGGAGCAAACAGG